UACGUAGGGUGCGAGCGUUGUCCGGAAUUAUUGGGCGUAAAGAGCUCGUAGGCGGUGCGUCACGUCGGCCGUGAAAACCUGGGGCUUAACUCUGGGCGUGCGGUCGAUACGGGCAUCACUAGAGUUCGGCAGGGGAGACUGGAAUUCCUGGUGUAGCGGUGAAAUGCGCAGAUAUCAGGAGGAACACCGGUGGCGAAGGCGGGUCUCUGGGCCGAUACUGACGCUGAGGAGCGAAAGCAUGGGUAGCGAACAGG
RNAcentral lists this ribosomal RNA (254 nucleotides) under uncultured bacterium. Its description in RNAcentral is "partial 16S ribosomal RNA". It matches the Rfam family "Bacterial small subunit ribosomal RNA", at positions 524 to 776 of the family's 1533-position model. The record is from RNAcentral.